UUUUGCUGUCGGCUUGAAAAAGCCCUCCCCCGCCCCCAUAAUCCAAGACAUGGUUGUAAUUCCAGCAAGCUGGAGGCGUUCUGGACGGGGGUUCGAUUCCCCCCAUCUCCACCCAAGGGCAUUUGUUUGAGUGUCCUUGUCUGGGGGUGUACUGGUUUCGACAGGGCGACAAAGGGGCGCAGGCAACCCGAGAGGCGACGGACGUAAUCCGCGCAAAUCCAUAAUUGCCAACGAUGAGCAAUUCGCUAUUGCUGCCUAAACAGCUUAGCUGGGGCCGCUGAAGCCUUAUUACCCAAGACAGCCGGCGGGGACUUCGGUCCCCGUCGUCA
This 329-nucleotide transfer-messenger RNA is filed under the name Dechloromonas sp. It matches the Rfam family "Betaproteobacteria transfer-messenger RNA". From Rfam's summary of the family: Bacterial tmRNA, also known as 10Sa RNA or SsrA, is named for its dual tRNA and mRNA-like properties. Its role is to liberate the mRNA from a stalled ribosome. To accomplish this part of the tmRNA is used as a reading frame that ends in a translation stop signal. Lineage: Bacteria; Pseudomonadati; Pseudomonadota; Betaproteobacteria; Rhodocyclales; Azonexaceae. The record is from RNAcentral.